CCUUGAGAGUGGCGAACGGGUGAGUAAUAUAUCGGAACGUGCCCAGUCGUGGGGGAUAACGUAGCGAAAGUUACGCUAAUACCGCAUACGAUCUAUGGAUGAAAGCGGGGGACCUUCGGGCCUCGCGCGAUUGGAGCGGCCGAUGUUAGAUUAGGUAGUUGGUGGGGUAAAGGCUCACCAAGCCUACGAUCUAUAGCUGGUCUGAGAGGACGACCAGCCACACUGGGACUGAGACACGGCCCAGACUCC
Molecule: ribosomal RNA, 249 nt
Filed under: uncultured bacterium
Lineage: Bacteria
Description: partial 16S ribosomal RNA
Rfam family: Bacterial small subunit ribosomal RNA
Source: RNAcentral